CAUUCGCUGCCUGUUAUGCGCCGCAAUGAGCCACGAGCUCAAUCAGAAAGUUAGCCAAACAAAUUGAAAACGAAAACACAAAUGAGAUACACUUUUGGCUGGGACUCGAUGCUUUCGAACGACUUUGUUUCUGGCUUUGCAUUUACUUUGCUUUUCCGCAGUCGAAAAGCGACAGGAACAACAGGAUGGCGAAAAGUUGAAGGGAAAAUCAGGCAACAAUAAUAACGGCAAGGGCUUACUUAAUUUUCCCGCGGAGAGCGAAAGCAAUUUCCGUUCGUUAAACCUACAUUUCGAAAUUAAAUUUUUUACACUUGAGAAGCUCGCAGCUUCAAAUAUUUUCAUUUUGCCUCAGACGCGGCGCAAUUAUGCGCCGUCAGUGGGGGUGAGUGGGUGUGCAAGGACCUGGCAACCCUGGCCAACUCGGAACAGGAACCAGGCAACCCCCGAACCCGGGCGUUAGACCCAUUUCUGGAAACCUCCCUCGCUAGCCGGAAACAAGUGAGUUGUAAUGCUCUCUAAGGUUGUGACGCCUUUAAAACUUUUGGCCCGAGUCAAGGGAUGAUGGAACUAAAUUAUCGACUACUUUAUACCUAUUGAGAAUCAUUU
Drosophila melanogaster (fruit fly) is the source of this 606-nucleotide non-coding RNA. The record is from Ensembl. NCBI's taxonomy places the organism in Eukaryota, Metazoa, Arthropoda, Insecta, Diptera, Drosophilidae.